AGUGAACGCUGGCGGUAGGCCUAACACAUGCAAGUCGAACGGCAGCACAGGAGAGCUUGCUCUCUGGGUGGCGAGUGGCGGACGGGUGAGGAAUACAUCGGAAUCUGCUCUGUCGUGGGGGAUAACGUAGGGAAACUUACGCUAAUACCGCAUACGACCUACGGGUGAAAGCAGGGGACCUUCGGGCCUUGCGCGAUUGAAUGAGCCGAUGUCGGAUUAGCUAGUUGGCGGGGUAAAGGCCCACCAAGGCGACGAUCCGUAGCUGGUCUGAGAGGAUGAUCAGCCACACUGGAACUGAGACACGGUCCAGACUACUACGGGAGGCAGCAGUGGGGAAUAUUGGACAAUGGGCGCAAGCCUGAUCCAGCCAUACCGCGUGGGUGAAGAAGGCCUUCGGGUUGUAAAGCCCCUUUGUUGGGAAAGAAAUCCAGCUGGCUAAUACCCGGUUGGGAUGACGGUACCCAAAGAAUAAGCACCGGCUAACUUCGUGCCAGCCGCCGCGGUAA
This 506-nucleotide ribosomal RNA is filed under the name uncultured bacterium. RNAcentral's name for it is "partial 16S ribosomal RNA". It matches the Rfam family "Bacterial small subunit ribosomal RNA", at positions 29 to 523 of the family's 1533-position model. The record is from RNAcentral.